CGACGGCGUCGCGCGCAGGUCCGAGGCAGGUGGGAGCAAGACUAAACUCUCGCGAGAGGGCCGGGGUGGGCCCUGGCUGGGAGCGCCGUGCCGGGAUUGGUCCGGGCGUCACGCGGGGGGAGGGGGGCGGCGACUGGGACUGUCGGGGGUGUGGCGCGCCAACCCGGGGUGAAGCCGAAAGCAGCCGCGUUGUGGUUUGCCGGAGCGCCAUGUUGGGCGUCCCGGCCGGGAGGGCUCCACGGGAUCCCGGGGGACGUGCCAUGGGCUGCGGCGGUUCGCGUCCGGGAAGCGCCACCAGCCGGGCCGCCUGCUGACGUGCCCGCUGCCCCACGCGUUAGCUGCUGUCCCCCGACGGGCCACGCUAACUUGAGCGCCGCCCCCAGGGGGCUCGGGAAGAUGUCCUGGAGACGCGCAGGAACGUGCGUGGUCACGCCCGCGGGUUUCGCUCCUCACUCGCGGCUGGGCCUCUGCGGGGCAACCUGGGUCCGUGGCGGGAGUCUGGCCCCUGUCGUCUGUGUUUUCACCUGAGGAAAGAGUGGAACUGAGGACACACGCACCCUUGUUCGUAAACUCAGACCACAGCUGCGGUUCCACAAAAGCUCGGACUGUGAUGACUAUUCUUAGUUGUCAACUUGACUAUAUCUGGAAUGAACUACAAUUCAAAAAUGGAGGACACAUCUGUGAGAGAUUUUUCUACUUGGUUUGAAGUGGAUGAAUCUACUUCUUGUCCAGACCUUUGAUCUGGGUCUUGAGGCAGGAAAGUACACCUUUAAUAUGGUCCAUACCUUCUGUUGGAAGCCUAUAUAAGGGACAUAGAAGAAGGAAGCUUUUGCUAUUUGCCUGCUUGUUCCUCACCUUGCUAGCCCAUCCAUUCUUUCACUGGCAUUGGUGCCUACUUCUUUGGGAUUACAGCAUAUGCAGAAGACCAGGUGAAAACAUCCAACCCUGUGGAACUGAGCAACUGCUGAAUUCUUGGACUUUUCAUUCACAGCUAGCCAUUGUUGGAGUAGCUGGACUGCAGAUUCUAAGUCAUUCCAUGAGACAGAGAUUUAUUCCAUAAGUUCUUUGACUGUAAAGAACCCUAACUAAUACAAAUUUUGGUACCAGAAGUGGUUCUAGAGAAACAGACAUAUAAAGAUGAAUCUUUUAAGUA
Peromyscus californicus insignis is the source of this 1153-nucleotide long non-coding RNA. RefSeq lists it as uncharacterized. The record is from RefSeq and is a predicted model, not a curated record. The transcript has 2 exons. NCBI's taxonomy places the organism in Eukaryota, Metazoa, Chordata, Mammalia, Rodentia, Cricetidae.